Long non-coding RNA from Heterocephalus glaber (naked mole-rat), 4662 nucleotides. Lineage: Eukaryota; Metazoa; Chordata; Mammalia; Rodentia; Bathyergidae. The record is from Ensembl.
GCGCCAAUUGCAAUUCCAAGUGAGAUUAUAGUUGUUGCUAGUAGUACUAUAAAGAUCUUUUCUGGGAUGUUUGAGUCCAGAAUGGUGCACCGCUCUUCCUCCUUCUACACCCGAUCAGAGCUCCAGAGUUGGCUUACACCGUGCUGAGACUCCCUAUUUGGGUGUCAGUUUGAGUUUGGAAGUUUGGGUCCGGGUCUUCCUCCAGAUCGGCGUUUCCGGAGUUGUCCCUUCCCAAAAUCCUCCUCUCUCUCCCUGAUUCCCAAAUGGUACAAUGUUUAAAUUUAACCUCCGACCUUGAGACCUAGUCUUUUUUCUCUUUUAUUUCUGACGCCAUCUUUUUCUUUUUCUAGUUCAACUAGUUCUGCCUUGUUUUGACAAAUCCUGCUGACUAUGCCAGCUGUCGCAAGCAGGUACUGUGGGUAAAGAGGACUCAGACUCGGAUGGCAAUUCACACACUUAUCUUGUAUUAUUAUAAUUCAUUUCAAUACAAUUACCACACAAUAUUAAGUCUGCCAAUUACCACGUCCCUGUACCUGUACUGCCCAAGUCCUUAUGGGAGCGCCACGUUUCCUCCCGCAGGGUCAGAGGGUCCGAUCCAUAGACGAAGGGCGUCGAGUCGACGCUAGUCUAUCUGCCUCUCCGCUUUCCUUGUCCUCUGGUCUCGUCUGGUCAGUGGCGAUGCUCCUCCCAGCGGGAUCAGGUGUGCAGAGGUCUCGGUCAGUAGUCAGAUCAUCAGACUGGCUGGCCGACUGGUCGGUGGACGGAUCGUCGACUUGCUUGGGGGUCUUCAGCUCCUUUUAUACUAUUCUAACUGGGCGUUCGUGGUAUUGGUUCAGACUUAUCACACUGUCCAGCUUGGGGCAUACUCUGCCCAAUUCAGGGUACGCCCUGUCCAGUUCGGGGGUACACCCUUAUCAGUUCUAUACCACUUAAGGUUCUACUUUCCUUACUUUCAAAUCCUAUGGUUACACAUCACUCUUAUGAUUGUGUUAUACUUAGGUUACAGCACUCUUAAAGUCACAGCACACUUUAGGGUUACAGCACACUUAGGGUUAUACAAUUCCAUCUUAUUCCAAGGUGUUCUCCACAUUUUUACAGUCCUCCCAAUUAGGACAAUGGACAGCAAAAGUGGAAUCAAAUAAUUGAAGCAUUUUGGAGGGGUCUUGGCAAAGAAUAAAUGACUUUCCUUUUCUCUGGACCUAACCUCCUUUGUCUUUUUAAAGUCAAAUCUCAAAUACCACACCUUGGUCUGACAUAUUUGUGCCUUUUUCCAACAGUCUUUUUUCUAACUCACUAUAAAGGAGGUCAUAUUGUAACUUGUUGGCUCUUAAACACUUUGAAGAUAACCAAUGUACACAUAUUAUAGUAGCAUAUUUAGAAUUUAACCCUUUGAUGACAACUAAUGUAAACAUAUUUAAACUUUUUAUAACAUACUUGAAACCAACAAACAUACAUAUUUUUUGAUAAAUCACUUUCACGCAUCUUUUGACAUACCUAGGCCUUGUGGUCUUAUAUAUUUUUUAUCUUUUUUAAAAUUACUUUUUAUUUUUUCUUUUUUUCUUUUUAACAAGACAAACAUGCAAAAAUUUUAUAUCAAAAUUGUAUCUCUUUUACUUAUAGCUUUAAAUAUAUUUUUUAUCUCACUAUAGACCUUUUAUCACAAACUUGUCUUUAGCUGUUAAAAUUUUAAAGUGUCCCUUUUUUCCUUCUCAGAUUGUUACACUUUAAAUUUGGUUGGCUGCCAAUAGAAUGGUAGUAACCUUGAGGGUUUCUUUUUAAUCAACAAAGUACAGAAAAGAGCUAGUUAACCUUAUAAUUACAAUUGAAGAAUUUGCAAAGUACAAUACUUUAAGCACACCAAUUAAACAUCAAUUCAAACUGAAACACAAAUACAUUUAUCAAUUAGCUAAAAUUUGUAACCCUUGUAAAAUUUCUUACUUUCUCUGGCUUUAUGUCCUUCAGAGCUUUUUUUAGCUGUUUUUAAUCCAUUACUUAUUUUUUUCUUACUAAUUUUUAAAACUUGAGUGUAAGCCCUAUUUGAUCCUCUCUGAGUCUGACCACAGCAUGGUGCUCUGAAGCCAAGCAGUUUUCAUGCUUUUGUCCCCACCUCCUCCAAACCUGUGAAUUUAGCAACUCAAAAAGAGGGGGGAAAGUCUAAAUUCUCUCAGCCUGGAUCUGAAAGGGCUUCUGGGGCACACAUAUGAAGCCAAGGAGGCAUUCUGUGGCACAAUUUGGGCCAUAAAUCAAUAUAGGGAAAUUGAUCUGGAUGUUCCCAUCCAGGGGCAGUGACUGUUAGCCCAAUGGACCAGACGAGACCCUCACCUAGGGAUCUCUCAGUUGAGCAAGCUAGGCAAAGCUUGGGCCAUUCUAACUCACAAAAGGCUCUAAGUUUUGAGGUUUCAUCUUUUUUUGGGAGGGGGGGUCAUCUUAAUACCAUAAUUUCCAGUAAAACCUUUCUUAAAAUUCUUAAGCAUGCAUUCCAAAACAGUAGGAUGAGAUAUUUCUGUCCCCACGACCAGCCGAUCAGUGUUGGUGUGUGUAUGGGUACCCUUGUAUGGAGAUGCAAGACAAACAAAGGUGGGGGAUCACUCGCUCACCUGCCUGGCUGCGGGCUUCUCGGCCAUUUUAAGGUCUGUUCAGGGUAAGGUGGGCUGUCGCCUAAGCUCACCAUUGUGUCUUUGUUAAACGCAACCACACAAAGUUCUGCGAUUCAGGAAGGACUCUUUAAGCACAAGCGCUUCCUCCCUGUCUUGUUCCGCAGCUUGUUCCACACACUCUCCUAUCCAGAACUCUUUCACUCACACAUUUAUUCAGAUCACAUUCCCUCCCGGUGACCCCCUAACCAUAACCAAAACAAAUGAAAGAAGUUACCUCCCCAAAUGGCAAAGCACAAAGGGUGAUCGGGCCCCUGCACUAUGUUUGCCCAAAGUUCAUAAACGGAACCAAAACAAAUGGAAGGAGCUACCUUUCCAAAUGGCAGAGCACAAGGGGUGAUCAGGCCCCUGUGCACUAUUUGCCCAAAAUUACGGAAUACAAAUUCACAAGGUGAAACCGAAAGUUAAUGACUAGGGGUUUCCUGGGGUUUCUCACCCAGCAAAGGAAAGAGACAGACAAGACACCAAGAACAGCAGUCCUUCUUCUGUAGUCUCCUCAGGUUCACGCGAUCCUCUGCCCAGUGAGCGGAUCUCUGUGUCCUGUUGGGGAGCCUAGGAAAUUAGUCCCAAGGGUGCGCCUUUCCUCUGGAGGAGACAGAGAGCCGCUCCAUCUGGUGGGGUUCUGGUGGGGUUCGGGCCGAUGCCUGUGAUGGCUAUUUCAUUCCUGAUUCCCGGCCAAAGUACCAAAUGUUACGGAAAUCUCGGAAAGAAAUACAAAGAGACACAAAAUUCAGAUAAAAUAAUAAAAUUUCUUCUCACAAGUAGGUGGAAUGUCAGAAACCGGUCUGGUCAGUAUCUGCCCCCUUUGUUCAGGGUUUCCCUUUUUGUAUCCUUUUUAGCCAUUAUCUUAUCCCUAGUGGUCUUUGAUGUGUAAAUACAAUUCCAAUUCCUAUUUACAAGUCACAGACACAAGAUAGGCCAUAUACAUUGUAAAUUCACCUUGGCAUGGUAACUUUGUUAGGUUAAUGAAGUUACGGGUUAGAGUCAGAUAAUUAUCACCUUAAACAAGGAGUUAUGGGAAAAGCAAAUUUUAAAAGAACACAUUAUUUAUUUUGUUUCUACAACUACCUUAAUAUUCAAUCUAUUAAAUUAUCUAAAACUUUUCCGUAUCAAUGUAAAGGUGCAAAUUUCCAAGGAUGAAUGUCAUAUUGUAUACCUUAAAUGUACCAUAAAAUUAAUUAAAAAAAAAAUGUAUGAGGGCCUGGAUUCAAUACCUAGUACCACUGAAGAAAGAAAGAAAGAAAGAGAAAAAUGAGCCAGGCAUAGUGGUGCAUGCAUGUGAUCCCAGCACUUGGGAGGCUGAAACAGGAGGAUCUCUGAGAGUUCAAGGCCAGCCUGAAUUAUAUAGCAAGACCCUGCUUCAAGAAAACAAAAAACAAAGUGACAGAAAGUUAUGAUUCCCAGUAGGAGUAUAAAUUGGGAUAAUCACUUUGGAACAUAGAAUAGCACCAGUCUGUGCAGAUUAACAAACACAUUUCUUCUUUUUUUAAUGACGGGUCUCUCUAUGUAGUUCAGGCUGGCCUUGAACUGACUAUGUAGUUGAGAGUGGCCCUGAACUCACAGUGACCCUCUUGCCUCAGGCUCCCGGGUGCUGGGAUUACAGACAUGUGAAGAGAAGCGUUUCUGUGCAUACACCAAGAGACGUGAACAAGAAUACUUAGGACUGGGCCGGGGAUUUAGCUCAGUGGUUCCGCAGCCUGCCUUGCAAGUGCAAGGACCCGAGUUCGAUCCCUGGUACCAAAAAAAAAAAAAAAGAAUACUUAGAACUGUUUUUCUUCUGGUCCCAAGCAUUUGGCAGCUGUGGGUGACAGUGCAGAUAAGGUCAAGUCCAAGAACCACACCACACAACCAGUGCCCAGAAUGGCACAGAAACGGCAUCAAGAAACCCAGAUCUCAAAGGUUCAAGCCUCUGAAGGGGGGAAGAUCCCAAGUUCCUGAGGAACAUGUGUUUUGUCAAGAAACACAAGAAGGGCCUGAAGAAGAUGAAGGCAAACAAUGCCACAACCAU